UACGUAGGUGGCAAGCGUUGUCCGGAAUUAUUGGGCGUAAAGCGCGCGCAGGCGGUCCUUUAAGUCUGAUGUGAAAGCCCACGGCUCAACCGUGGAGGGUCAUUGGAAACUGGGGGACUUGAGUACAGAAGAGGAAAGCGGAAUUCCACGUGUAGCGGUGAAAUGCGUAGAGAUGUGGAGGAACACCAGUGGCGUAGGCGGCUUUCUGGUCUGUAACUGACGCUGAGGCGCGAAAGCGUGGGGAGCAAACAGG
Molecule: ribosomal RNA, 253 nt
Filed under: uncultured bacterium
Lineage: Bacteria
Description: partial 16S ribosomal RNA
Rfam family: Bacterial small subunit ribosomal RNA
Source: RNAcentral